GUACAUUAGUGCUUGCGCACGACAAUAGUUUUCAUUACAUUCGAGUGUGUAAAAAUCCUCUACCAGCCGAAGCUAGCAAGAGGCCAAAGGUUCACAGGGGUAUUGGAAUGAAAGCCACCGACGUGCACUUGCAGGAGCCAGCACAGAAGGCAACAGUUUACAAUCAAUAAUGAUCCUUCCGCAGGUUCACCUACGGAAA
This 199-nucleotide unclassified non-coding RNA is filed under the name uncultured fungus. RNAcentral's name for it is "sequence contains ITS1". Lineage: Eukaryota; Fungi. The record is from RNAcentral.